CUGGAAGGAGACCUCGAGAACCUUUGCAGACAGGUAAGACACGGAGACCUUUGGGUUGAUGGCAAGAUUUGGAGGGCUGAUUAUGGCGCCUUUGAUGUGAGGAGGUAUUCCUGCAAUCCUUCCGAGACACCUAAGCUGCUGUAAGUAAUGACUUUUGUUGCUCAUGUAUCUGAUGCUUCUGCCACUGUGUUGUCUCUGAAAAAU
This 204-nucleotide long non-coding RNA is filed under the name Homo sapiens (human). RNAcentral's name for it is "HSALNT0214117". The record is from RNAcentral. Lineage: Eukaryota; Metazoa; Chordata; Mammalia; Primates; Hominidae.